RNAcentral lists this ribosomal RNA (2925 nucleotides) under Escherichia coli. RNAcentral describes it as "partial 23S ribosomal RNA". It matches the Rfam family "Bacterial large subunit ribosomal RNA". Lineage: Bacteria; Pseudomonadati; Pseudomonadota; Gammaproteobacteria; Enterobacterales; Enterobacteriaceae. The record is from RNAcentral.
GGGUUGUGAGGUUAAGCGACUAAGCGUACACGGUGGAUGCCCUGGCAGUCAGAGGCGAUGAAGGACGUGCUAAUCUGCGAUAAGCGUCGGUAAGGUGAUAUGAACCGUUAUAACCGGCGAUUUCCGAAUGGGGAAACCCAGUGUGAUUCGUCACACUAUCAUUAACUGAAUCCAUAGGUUAAUGAGGCGAACCGGGGGAACUGAAACAUCUAAGUACCCCGAGGAAAAGAAAUCAACCGAGAUUCCCCCAGUAGCGGCGAGCGAACGGGGAGCAGCCCAGAGCCUGAAUCAGUGUGUGUGUUAGUGGAAGCGUCUGGAAAGGCGCGCGAUACAGGGUGACAGCCCCGUACACAAAAAUGCACAUGCUGUGAGCUCGAUGAGUAGGGCGGGACACGUGGUAUCCUGUCUGAAUAUGGGGGGACCAUCCUCCAAGGCUAAAUACUCCUGACUGACCGAUAGUGAACCAGUACCGUGAGGGAAAGGCGAAAAGAACCCCGGCGAGGGGAGUGAAAAAGAACCUGAAACCGUGUACGUACAAGCAGUGGGAGCACGCUUAGGCGUGUGACUGCGUACCUUUUGUAUAAUGGGUCAGCGACUUAUAUUCUGUAGCAAGGUUAACCGAAUAGGGGAGCCGAAGGGAAACCGAGUCUUAACUGGGCGUUAAGUUGCAGGGUAUAGACCCGAAACCCGGUGAUCUAGCCAUGGGCAGGUUGAAGGUUGGGUAACACUAACUGGAGGACCGAACCGACUAAUGUUGAAAAAUUAGCGGAUGACUUGUGGCUGGGGGUGAAAGGCCAAUCAAACCGGGAGAUAGCUGGUUCUCCCCGAAAGCUAUUUAGGUAGCGCCUCGUGAAUUCAUCUCCGGGGGUAGAGCACUGUUUCGGCAAGGGGGUCAUCCCGACUUACCAACCCGAUGCAAACUGCGAAUACCGGAGAAUGUUAUCACGGGAGACACACGGCGGGUGCUAACGUCCGUCGUGAAGAGGGAAACAACCCAGACCGCCAGCUAAGGUCCCAAAGUCAUGGUUAAGUGGGAAACGAUGUGGGAAGGCCCAGACAGCCAGGAUGUUGGCUUAGAAGCAGCCAUCAUUUAAAGAAAGCGUAAUAGCUCACUGGUCGAGUCGGCCUGCGCGGAAGAUGUAACGGGGCUAAACCAUGCACCGAAGCUGCGGCAGCGACGCUUAUGCGUUGUUGGGUAGGGGAGCGUUCUGUAAGCCUGCGAAGGUGUGCUGUGAGGCAUGCUGGAGGUAUCAGAAGUGCGAAUGCUGACAUAAGUAACGAUAAAGCGGGUGAAAAGCCCGCUCGCCGGAAGACCAAGGGUUCCUGUCCAACGUUAAUCGGGGCAGGGUGAGUCGACCCCUAAGGCGAGGCCGAAAGGCGUAGUCGAUGGGAAACAGGUUAAUAUUCCUGUACUUGGUGUUACUGCGAAGGGGGGACGGAGAAGGCUAUGUUGGCCGGGCGACGGUUGUCCCGGUUUAAGCGUGUAGGCUGGUUUUCCAGGCAAAUCCGGAAAAUCAAGGCUGAGGCGUGAUGACGAGGCACUACGGUGCUGAAGCAACAAAUGCCCUGCUUCCAGGAAAAGCCUCUAAGCAUCAGGUAACAUCAAAUCGUACCCCAAACCGACACAGGUGGUCAGGUAGAGAAUACCAAGGCGCUUGAGAGAACUCGGGUGAAGGAACUAGGCAAAAUGGUGCCGUAACUUCGGGAGAAGGCACGCUGAUAUGUAGGUGAAGUCCCUCGCGGAUGGAGCUGAAAUCAGUCGAAGAUACCAGCUGGCUGCAACUGUUUAUUAAAAACACAGCACUGUGCAAACACGAAAGUGGACGUAUACGGUGUGACGCCUGCCCGGUGCCGGAAGGUUAAUUGAUGGGGUCAGCGCAAGCGAAGCUCUUGAUCGAAGCCCCGGUAAACGGCGGCCGUAACUAUAACGGUCCUAAGGUAGCGAAAUUCCUUGUCGGGUAAGUUCCGACCUGCACGAAUGGCGUAAUGAUGGCCAGGCUGUCUCCACCCGAGACUCAGUGAAAUUGAACUCGCUGUGAAGAUGCAGUGUACCCGCGGCAAGACGGAAAGACCCCGUGAACCUUUACUAUAGCUUGACACUGAACAUUGAGCCUUGAUGUGUAGGAUAGGUGGGAGGCUUUGAAGUGUGGACGCCAGUCUGCAUGGAGCCGACCUUGAAAUACCACCCUUUAAUGUUUGAUGUUCUAACGUUGACCCGUAAUCCGGGUUGCGGACAGUGUCUGGUGGGUAGUUUGACUGGGGCGGUCUCCUCCUAAAGAGUAACGGAGGAGCACGAAGGUUGGCUAAUCCUGGUCGGACAUCAGGAGGUUAGUGCAAUGGCAUAAGCCAGCUUGACUGCGAGCGUGACGGCGCGAGCAGGUGCGAAAGCAGGUCAUAGUGAUCCGGUGGUUCUGAAUGGAAGGGCCAUCGCUCAACGGAUAAAAGGUACUCCGGGGAUAACAGGCUGAUACCGCCCAAGAGUUCAUAUCGACGGCGGUGUUUGGCACCUCGAUGUCGGCUCAUCACAUCCUGGGGCUGAAGUAGGUCCCAAGGGUAUGGCUGUUCGCCAUUUAAAGUGGUACGCGAGCUGGGUUUAGAACGUCGUGAGACAGUUCGGUCCCUAUCUGCCGUGGGCGCUGGAGAACUGAGGGGGGCUGCUCCUAGUACGAGAGGACCGGAGUGGACGCAUCACUGGUGUUCGGGUUGUCAUGCCAAUGGCACUGCCCGGUAGCUAAAUGCGGAAGAGAUAAGUGCUGAAAGCAUCUAAGCACGAAACUUGCCCCGAGAUGAGUUCUCCCUGACUCCUUGAGAGUCCUGAAGGAACGUUGAAGACGACGACGUUGAUAGGCCGGAUGUGUAAGCGCAGCGAUGCGUUGAGCUAACCGGUACUAAUGAACCGUGAGGCUUAACCUUACAACGCCGAAG